Molecule: long non-coding RNA, 2550 nt
Organism: Lutzomyia longipalpis
Lineage: Eukaryota; Metazoa; Arthropoda; Insecta; Diptera; Psychodidae
Exons: 2
Source: RefSeq, a predicted model, not a curated record
UCUCUUUCCAAAAUCAAUUCGAGCUUUGGAUAACAAUACUUUAUGGUAGGCAGGAAGUAAGAAGACCCACUGUAAGACAUCUGCUCAUUUAUGCACGCAGCUAAGAUGUACAUAUGAACCUCAAUUGGGUAAAAUGUAAGGCGAGUGUAUAAAGGGUGAAGCGACAGCCACAUUUAACCAGAAAAUAAAUGGCAUACGAGCCUUUAGGUCUUAGUGUACAUUCUCAACUGAUUAGGGUAAGAGCGUUUCAUUCGCUUUUAAAGUAAAAAUAUUUCUGAUUGUAGUGAAAAAAAGUCUCAAUAUUCAUGGUUCCGCACUCUCGGAGACAAUCGAUUUCAUUCAAUAUUGAUGGUAUACCCUCACUGAAUCGUAUGCUUCUAUCUCAUUGAUUUGAGAGAGCUCACCGACAAGUUACGUUAAAAUGCUGUUGGCGACUUUGGCGGAUGUUCACACAAAACCACAUCACGGAUUUAGUAUGUGUAAUGUGUAUGUAUUGAAAAAAAAACAAAUAAAAUCGGCAAAGGAGCUGCCUAACUAUUGCAAUAGACACCUGUUGAGAAGAAACCUCAUGCAUAUUACCAUUAAUAGGAAUAUGAUCUUUAUAUAAGCUCAGAAGUAGCGAAAAAUACAUAAAAUCAGUAGGAUAAUAAUGAUAGGAUUGCUUUCCUAAAAAAACCGGUCAUAUUUUUUUUAAUUUGUAAGUGUAGAAAAUGCAAAAAGGUAAAAAUAAAAAAAGACUACUAUAACAAUUCAAGAUUUGCAUUAUAUUUUUUUCAAAAAAUUUAGAUGUGUUUUUUUUCGGGCUCAAACUUGGUCCCUAUAUUUCCAAAAAAAAAAACGUAAAGUUAAAAAAAAUGGAUGUUUGUCCUUAUUUGUUUAUUGUUACUCCACGAAUUAAGAUCCAAUUUUAUUUAAAUCGUAUGAAAAAACUUUCCGUAUAGAUAUCAAAGAAAACUUAUGUUUUAAAGCUAUCCUAUUAUUUACAUUCCUUCAAUUACAUCAUCUUCCACUGACAAUGAAUGUUUUCUUGUCAUGUUUUGUUUUGCAAGAAUCUUUAUAUUUUCAGUUUUUUUUUAAGUUUUCAAGAAAAUAUUAUUGCACAUCCACUAAAGAAGAUGCAAUGAGCAUCGAUAGCUCUAGAAUUGAUGCUUUUUAGUUCUUAGCUAAACUUGUUUCAAUUUUCAUCAAAUUAAUAAACCACCCCUUACCAUACUUCGUAUUUUUGCAAGAAAACACUAUUACGAGAGUUUAUAGUAUCACUUCAUUUUUUUUACAUAAUGCCUUAUUAGGUAUCUAAUAAUUUAUGUUAUUUUUUACCCUGUAGGUCUUUGGUCAAUCAUGACCAUUUUGACCAAGAGACUUUUUUUUUUUAACCUGUAAGACCAACUAAUCUCCUUCUCUGGGAAGGAGACAGUGGAAGGAUGAGCCAAAAUAAUUUAUGUUAUAUAUAAAAUACCAGCAAUGCAAGUUGUCCAUUAAAUAUUAUCCUAAAUUAGUAUGAAAUGUCCAUCUUUCCAUUACUAGUGAUCUCAAAAUUAUAAUAGUCUUAUCACAAAUAAAAUACAUAUUGGUUUGGAAGCAUUACCUAUACCUACUGUGAUAUAAUAAACAAUCCCACAAUCCUUAGAAAUUAUAUAUGUGUACAUAUAUAGUGCAGUAUCAGAAAAUACUUAAAUUUUACCAGGGUUGUACUCAGACAAGAACUAAAAUUCAAUAAAAAAUAUUGUAUAUAUAUUUUUUUGUGCAAGUUUAGAUAUUAUUAUAGGUUUUAGAACUUUAAUAAUUUUAUAUUAAAUUGGUGUUGGCCACGAAGUGGAACACCAAUUAAUAAAUAGUUUCUACAAGUUAAUAAUUACAUAUUUAAAAUAAAACUUUUUUUUAAAUACGUGCAUUUUAUUUUAAUUGUAAGAGCGUUGUAACGUUUAAUUUUGUAAAAGCGAUGCUUAAUGUCAUUCUUAUUUUUAUUUUAACUCAAUAUUGGAACUUUCUCACGAUAUAAGAAACAAGAAAAAAAAAUAUAAUUGAUAGUUUUAUUAAUGAGAUGCCUAAAAAGCCCUUAAUUGACAUAGUUUCCAGAGAAAAAUAAGUUAUACUGACUGAGCACUGAGUUUUCGACACAAAUAUGUAUAUAUUAAAAGUUGGAAUAGAUACUAUUUGCCAGAUUAAUAUUAUUUAUAAUUUACAAAUUAAAUAAAAGGCAAAAUUCCCAAAUACAAUUCUGGGAUAAACUCUGACUGAACAUAGGUUAUGUGCUUGUAUAUAAUAAGCACAAAUACGGUAUAGAAAAUAUAGAAUUUAUAUCAAUACAUUAGUCUGCGAGUAUAGAUAGAUACGAGUGAGUGUAUAGCGACGAUUUCGUCCGGUUGAAGUCAUCGCUUCGAAUACACUCGACAGAAUUAUGUGAGCGAAAGAGAUGAUAUAGCAGAGGUGAGAGAGGUUUACAAUAAUGGACCAAAAAUGAGAUUUGCAAUCCAUAACUAUUGCAUAUCACCGUCAAAUCCGAAUUGUAUGAUUAUAUUACAAUAGACCGAAUAUUGAUAAAAUAUUAUG